This 433-nucleotide ribosomal RNA is filed under the name uncultured Clostridium sp. RNAcentral's name for it is "partial 16S ribosomal RNA". It matches the Rfam family "Bacterial small subunit ribosomal RNA", at positions 341 to 792 of the family's 1533-position model. Lineage: Bacteria; Bacillati; Bacillota; Clostridia; Eubacteriales; Clostridiaceae. The record is from RNAcentral.
ACGGGAGGCAGCAGUGGGGAAUAUUGCACAAUGGAGGAAACUCUGAUGCAGCGACGCCGCGUGAGGGAAGAAGGUUUUCGGAUUGUAAACCUCUGUCCCCGGUGAAGAUAAUGACGGUAGCCGAGGAGGAAGCCACGGCUAACUACGUGCCAGCAGCCGCGGUAAUACGUAGGUGGCAAGCGUUGUCCGGAAUUACUGGGUGUAAAGGGAGCGUAGGCGGGAAAGCAAGUUGAUUGUUUAAACUAUCGGCUCAACUGGUAGUCGCGAUCAAAACUGUUUUUCUUGAGUGAAGUAGAGGCAGGCGGAAUUCCUAGUGUAGCGGUGAAAUGCGUAGAUAUUAGGAGGAACACCAGUGGCGAAGGCGGCCUGCUGGGCUUUAACUGACGCUGAGGCUCGAAAGCGUGGGUAGCAAACAGGAUUAGAUACCCUGGUA